Molecule: RNA transcript, 1928 nt
Organism: Peromyscus leucopus (white-footed mouse)
Lineage: Eukaryota; Metazoa; Chordata; Mammalia; Rodentia; Cricetidae
Exons: 3
Source: RefSeq, a predicted model, not a curated record
GCCCAGCCGGUCUGGCAGGUGCCGGCCGCGGAGUCUCCGGCUGGCGGCGGCCAUGGAGGGGCUGCGUCGCGGGCUGUCGCGCUGGAAGCGCUACCACAUCAAGGUGCACUUGGCCGACGAGGCGUUACUGCUGCCACUGACCGUGCGGCCCCGCGACACGCUGAGCGACCUGCGCGCGCAGCUAGUGGGCCAGGGCGUGAGCUCGUGGCGCAGAACCUUCUACUACAACGCCAGGCCGCUGCCCGACCACCAGACGGUGCGGGAGGCGCGCUGCAGGACGGCUCCGUCUUGCUGCUGCUCAGCGACCCCAGGUGACCAGGGAUCUGGGCGAGGACCUGGGUAGCUGGGGCUGGAGGAGCCAUGAUUUUGGGAAUGCGAGGUGCUGGCUGAGGGAGCAAGCUGGGCCAGAGGGAACCACAGCUCUCUCUUCCUGGGAACCCAGCCUUAUUCCAGGUGCUGGGCUCCCAGGUAGAUGCGACACCCCGGCCCUGCUGAUGCCCACUGCCUCCCGGAUGCUGCCCUCCAGCCCUCCAGCGAGGAGUCUUCUGGUUUCUCCGUGGCCUUGGAACCCUCCCCUCGCCCGGGAGCCUCCACCACCUGGAUCUUCUGCCACCCCCGCAUCCAGGAAGCCCUCCAGUCAACAGAUGCAGUUCCUUCUCUGGGGACCCACAGGGCUCCAGCUGUGAACAGCCCUGGCUUCGGGAGGAGCUGCUGGGUUCCUGACCGAGGAGACUCUGAUCCUGGGGGGCCUUGGUGACCCCGCGCAUGUGCAAAAUGAUCUGGCGCGUACUGUGGCUGCUCCGCUCCGCAGCCUCGGUGUUGGGGCGCCGUGCUGGGCCUUUGUGUGGCCCCCUGGUGCUGCGGACUGCAUGGUGAGCCCAGAAGGAAAUUGCGUUUUAAUUAAGAGUUGUACAGGCCUCGGGGUGCAGAGCUGAGCAGGUGGGGGCUGAAUGUUGGCCUUGGGGAGCUGGGUUGCUGGGCACGCACAGCUGCACCAGGCCCUGGGGGUCUGGGCCCCCCUCUGCCUCCCCGGUCUCCAGGGCUCGACUGUGGGGGGGGAACUGCAGUCCCCGUGGGGUUCCUUGGCCCUGGCCACAGGGAGAGAUGGGGGGGGAAGGGCUGGCGGGGGGGGGGGCAAGAGAAAGCAUUUUUGACAUUUAACAAACACUAUGCAAAUCGCAUGCAAAUUGCAUGCAAAUCACCACUCAUUCCUUAGCCUGACAGCCCUGGCAUGUUCAGAAAUAAUAAUGUAGGGCCUGUCCCCUGGUGCCCGUCCAGCAGCCUUCCCUCCCCUGCCCUCCCCCUCCCUCCCUCCUUCUCUUCCCAUCUUUGAUCCAAGGCCUCCCAGCCUGUAGCAUGUGAACCAAGGCCCACGGAGGCCCCGGGUCUGGCUUGAGGUCCCAGAGCCGCAGUUUGGGAAGCAUGUGGCCUCUCCAACAGUCGUCAGAAGCCACUUUGGACGGAACUUGUGACCCACAGAGAAAAGUGACAGCCGGGGAGGCUCCAGGCCUGUGGCGGCUUGCAGUCAUCCCAGAAGGUGUUGAGGGUCAGGCUGCUGAGUAUGCACGGCCCACAAGUUCAUCCUCGCUCCUUUCCUCCUGAGGUCUCCCUGAAUUCUGCCCACAGGCCCUUCCGUUUUUUUUUUCCCUCCAAACUCCUAUUUAUCCUACAAAGGCCUACUUUCAGUGCCCCAUUUUUACAGAGCCAUUCCUGAUACUCCAAUAAUACUCCCUCUGGGCCCUGUCCAGCACUGUGCUCCUGUCCUAGGCCUGAGUCGUGAGACCAGGUGGUGUCAGGCUCAUUCCACCUGGGUGAACUCACGGCAGGAGCUGCAAGGUCCACAGUCUGGGUUCUAGGCACAGGGGGCAUUUUGAACGUGUGUCAAAUAAAGACUGAAGACCAGCAGGUGGUCCCUGCAGUGACGGCUC